Molecule: small nuclear RNA, 82 nt
Filed under: Oesophagostomum dentatum (nodular worm)
Lineage: Eukaryota; Metazoa; Nematoda; Chromadorea; Rhabditida; Strongylidae
Description: U4 spliceosomal RNA
Rfam family: U4 spliceosomal RNA
About the family: U4 small nuclear RNA (U4 snRNA) is a component of the major U2-dependent spliceosome. The structure of U4 snRNA from yeast and human has been reported.
Source: Rfam by way of RNAcentral
AGCUUUGCGCAGAGACGAUAACGUGACCAAUGAGGCUCUGCCGAGGUGUGUUUAUUGCUGGUUGAAAACAAAACAUAAGUAU